Zingiber officinale is the source of this 487-nucleotide long non-coding RNA. RefSeq lists it as uncharacterized. The record is from RefSeq and is a predicted model, not a curated record. Lineage: Eukaryota; Viridiplantae; Streptophyta; Magnoliopsida; Zingiberales; Zingiberaceae. The transcript has 2 exons.
ACGGCAACCUUUUUCUCCCUCUCCCGUUUCCUUCUCUCGGCGCAGCAAACCAAAGCAAGGGAACACCUAGGGUUUCCUUCCUAGGACCGUGUGUGCACUUUCCGGCGGCAACACCAGCACGAAGUCGGUUCUUCUCCGCGAGAGGAACGCGAGGACGUAAGCGGGUCGUCGAGGGGAGCAGUUUUCCGAAAAACCUAGCGGAUAGAAUCGUAAGAAAACCUUACGAUUGAGAUACAGGUAAAAGGAAAGUGGACUAGUGGAGGCUGGAGGGCGAUGCUACGAUGAUGUGUGUGUGCAAGGGGUCUGGAAUAAAGAUCCUUGGGAUCUAAACACUUUUGUUUCAGUUUUAGCACUUAAUAUGUCUAGUUUUACUUUUAGACUUGUUACUAAUUGUUCUAGCUGAGUAACUAUGUCUUGUUUAGCUUAACAUGCUUAGAACAUUAGUACUUUCAUGCUAGAAUGUUAUUACAUGUUGUUAGAAUAGUUU